UGCAAUAGCUCGGUAAUACUGGGGCAGAAGAAAAGAGGACAGAUACUGACGAGAAUAUGUUUACCAUGUUCGACAUCUUGAAGAGCAAGAGAAGGGUUAAACUUGAAAGUUUGAUAUUGAAUAGAAAAUCUUUUGCACAGACAGUGGAAAAUUUAUUUGCUCUGUCUUUCUUGGUCAAAGAUGGGCGGGUUAUAAUGGCUGUGGAUGAAAAGGGCUCUCAUCUUGUUUUUAUUGACUUUCUUUUCAGCGCCAACAAAUGCUGCUGAUGCCCCUUCUGUUAUGUCGGGUAAAGUUGCUUACAGCCAUUUUGUCUUCAGAUAUGAUUUCAAGGAUUGGAAGUAUUCGUGAGAAAUAAAUCUGUUCAGCAUUCACUUGGACUUGGGGAGUCCUCAAUUAGUUGAUGAUGGAUUUUUUGGCAGUUGAGAGGAGUUGAUGCCCCAUAGGGAUUUUUCGAACAUUGGCAGUUGUUCCCAAGGGAAGCCAGCUGCUGCAAAUGCAAAUGAUUGUUAGGCACCAUUGCAGCAUCUGGUGACUGUAAAGAACCUAUCAGUUGUUGGAGACUCUUCUGGGAUUGGUGAUGCCAAUAGUGGCAUCCGGAGGUGCAAGCGUAAACUUGAGUUCCUUUCUGUUUGAUGCCUCGCCGUAAAUAUAUAUGUUUUGGAAUAUGAUUUGUGAUGUAUAUAGUAGCUAGGCAGGUAGAUAAGUUUUUGUUUAUCUACUAUUAGUUUUUUAUGAUUUAUUGGAUUUUUUUUCUUUAAA
Non-coding RNA from Camellia sinensis, 759 nucleotides. NCBI's taxonomy places the organism in Eukaryota, Viridiplantae, Streptophyta, Magnoliopsida, Ericales, Theaceae. The record is from RefSeq and is a predicted model, not a curated record.